UACGCUGGCGGCACGCCUAACACAUGCAAGUCGAACGCAGUAGCAAUACUGAGUGGCAAACGGGUGAGUAUAAUGUGGGAAUCUGCCUUUUGGUUUGGAAUAACACGGGGAAACUUGUGCUAAUACCGAAUAAGCCCUUACGGGGAAAGUUUUAAUGCCGAAAGAUGAGCCCGCACUUGAUUAGCUAGUUGGUAAGGUAAAAGCUUACCAAGGCAACGAUCAAUAGCUGUUCUUAGAGGAAGACCAGCCACAUUGGGACUGAGACACGGCCCAGACUCCUACGGGAGGCAGCAGUGGGGAAUCUUGCACAAUGGGGGAAACCCUGAUGCAGCGAUGCCGCGUGAGUGAAGAAGGCCUUUGGGUUGUAAAACUCUUUCGUCGGGGAAGAAAAUGACUGUACCCGAAUAAGAAGGUCCGGCUAACU
This 424-nucleotide ribosomal RNA is filed under the name uncultured bacterium. RNAcentral describes it as "bacterial SSU rRNA". It matches the Rfam family "Bacterial small subunit ribosomal RNA", at positions 33 to 502 of the family's 1533-position model. The record is from RNAcentral.